This 935-nucleotide long non-coding RNA is filed under the name Homo sapiens (human). Its description in RNAcentral is "HSALNT0332073". The record is from RNAcentral. Lineage: Eukaryota; Metazoa; Chordata; Mammalia; Primates; Hominidae.
AUGGUGAGAGCAGCGGCCCUGGUGGAAGCGUGGUAGCCCCUAGAAGGUCCAGGAUGGAACACAGAAGCUUUCCCUUGGGAUAUGUGAGUGCUCCAGCAGUUGUAAAGAGAGCUCUGAACAUAUGUGAGUGAGGAGAGCAAUUGAGGCCUUUGGAAUGAGUACACAUCCAGGAGUGAAGAAGACAAGCUCAACUGCCAUUCUCUGAGCAGUUCAAGGCAUACUGAGUUGCGGGAGUUGUGUGGUGGUCCACUCUGACUGCAAGCACCCCUUUCUUGAACCGAACAGAGUCAAGUGGAAUCAAAGGACAUUACCUGUUGAUUCUUGGGCAAGGCCCAGAAUUUGGUGGACAUACUUAAAGAAGAAAGGAAUCUUCAGCUAAAGUGUCUACGAUCAAUUCAGAUUUGGAGGGCAUGGAUCUUCUGACAGUAGGGGCCAUUCUAGGAUUUUUUGGUUGAAGAGAUGAACUUCAACUUGGUUCCAGAUGGGUGGUCCAGCUAUUCUGCUGACAACAUUUUUCAGGGCAAGGCUUUUGCUACUGGAAUGAUUUAAGGAAGAUCCCUCAGUGUUUCAGAGUAAAGAUAUUUCUAAAGAAGUACCUGUGUCAUUGCCCAUCUUGAAGAUUGACUUUUAUGGAUUGCUCAAAUACUGAUAUCAGCUCAAUGUCAAUAUAUACUCCUACAUAUAAAAUCCAUCUUCUAAUCAUAAUCACUAGGUAAGAUGCUAGUGCAAGUUGAAGUUCUUAAAGGAGAUGACCUGAACAGCCUUCUUAGUGUACCAGGGAGACCAGAUUGAGUUUAAACUAUGUUUACCCUGCACUCAGACACGCCUAGGUGUGUCUGGGAGAUUAGUAGAUGGUGUUCAACAAGGAUCUAUUUAAACAAGGGAGACAUUAAUUUGGAUUCCUUUGGUUGUAAAUUUCCAAAAAAAAAAAAAAG